GACGAACGCUUUCUUCUUUCUUAACACAUGCAAGUCGAACGGAAAGGCCCUGCUUUUGUGGGGUGCUCGAGUGGCGAACGGGUGAGUAACACGUGAGUAACCUGCCCUUGACUUUGGGAUAACUUCAGGAAACUGGGGCUAAUACCGGAUAGGAGCUCCUGCUGCAUGGUGGGGGUUGGAAAGUUUCGGCGGUUGGGGAUGGACUCGCGGCUUAUCAGCUUGUUGGUGGGGUAGUGGCUUACCAAGGCUUUGUCGGGUAGCCGGCCUGAGAGGGUGACCGGCCACAUUGGGACUGAGAUACGGCCCAGACUCCUACGGGAGGCAGCAGUGGGGAAUAUUGCACAAUGGGCGGAAGCCUGAUGCAGCAACGCCGCGUGCGGGAUGACGGCCUUCGUGUUGUAAACCGCUUUCGCCUGUGACGAAGCGUGAGUGACGGUAAUGGGUAAAGAAGCACCGGCUAACUACGGG
Molecule: ribosomal RNA, 468 nt
Filed under: uncultured bacterium
Lineage: Bacteria
Description: partial 16S ribosomal RNA
Rfam family: Bacterial small subunit ribosomal RNA
Source: RNAcentral